Molecule: transfer RNA, 87 nt
Filed under: Clostridiales bacterium
Lineage: Bacteria; Bacillati; Bacillota; Clostridia; Eubacteriales
Also listed under: 1 other name
Description: tRNA-Ser
Rfam family: tRNA
About the family: Transfer RNA (tRNA) molecules are approximately 80 nucleotides in length. Their secondary structure includes four short double-helical elements and three loops (D, anti-codon, and T loops). Further hydrogen bonds mediate the characteristic L-shaped molecular structure. tRNAs have two regions of fundamental functional importance: the anti-codon, which is responsible for specific mRNA codon recognition, and the 3' end, to which the tRNAs corresponding amino acid is attached (by aminoacyl-tRNA synthetases). tRNAs cope with the degeneracy of the genetic code in two manners: having more than one tRNA (with a specific anti-codon) for a particular amino acid; and 'wobble' base-pairing, i.e. permitting non-standard base-pairing at the 3rd anti-codon position.
Source: RNAcentral
GGAGAGAUGACCGAGAGGCCGAAGGUGCUCCCCUGCUAAGGGAGUAUACGGGUGACCGUAUCGAGGGUUCGAAUCCCUCUCUCUCCG